This 515-nucleotide unclassified non-coding RNA is filed under the name Hevea brasiliensis (rubber tree). Lineage: Eukaryota; Viridiplantae; Streptophyta; Magnoliopsida; Malpighiales; Euphorbiaceae. The record is from RNAcentral.
AGAAACACUGUAACAACAAAAAGAAAAGGAAAAAGGCAGAGAGUGAGUAUUAGAAACUGAAGCUCACAAUUAUGACUUUGAUUAUCGUUUUUAUUUAAAUUUAUAGUCAGAAAUAAUCUUUAUUCUGUUGUAUCAUUUAUUUAUGUUGUUUUAUUUAUUUAUUUAUUGUUUGCAAAUUACUUAACCUUUUGGUUUCUAUUUAUCGUUUGAUUUCAAAAUAGUUUUGUAGUUUAUUGUGUUGUGUUAAUUGUUUAUUUCAUUGCUCUUCUUCUCACCUCUCUUUGUUUUUAUUUUCUCUGCUCAUCUUUGGUGCUCACUUCCCAAUCAAAAUAGUCCCUUCGCAAAAGCAACAGAUGGAGAUUGUGAGUUCCAUUGCAUCCAAAGUUUUCGAACUGUCGGUAGAACCCAUUGUGCGUCAGAUCAAAUAUGUAUUCAACUACAGUGACAACAUCCACAACCUUGAAGAAGAAGUUGAAAAGCUCACGGAUAAGAAACAAAGGGUUGAGCACGCUGUG